Molecule: non-coding RNA, 454 nt
Organism: Peromyscus maniculatus bairdii (prairie deer mouse)
Lineage: Eukaryota; Metazoa; Chordata; Mammalia; Rodentia; Cricetidae
Source: RefSeq, a predicted model, not a curated record
UGCCCAGUGAGACUGCGUGCCUGAGCGGCCAGCGGUGACAAAUGCUCCUCUCUUUGCCCUGCUUGUACCCACCUGAAUCUUACAAGAAUGGCUCCCGAAUAACAUCUGCUAACCAAAAGGAAGCACAGCUGUUCACUUUUGACCACAGGAGGAAAACCUGAGCACACAGCCGCCAAGUUGAUAGGAUUUGAAUAUGUGAAAAGGGGAGAAACUUCUAUCAAUAUGUGAACUUCAGAUUAGAAGCGUGAAGGCCCAGGAGAGCGGAGUACUCUGGGUGAUGGAACACCAAUCAGUCAAAAAGACCAUGAGAGGAGCCAAGUACUGACCAGAAACAAUGAGCUUUGAUCCACAUCUACUCUCUGCCAUGAGGUCCCACUUCACCACAGGCCAAAAGCAACAGUCACCCAACCAGGGCCUGAAACCUCUGGUUAUAAGCUAAUAAACCUGUUUGCUU